UGGAUCCAGACUUUGAUUCUGGCUCAGGAUGAACGCUAGCUACAGGCUUAACUCAUGCAAGUCGAGGGGCAGCAUGGUCUUAGCUUGCUAAGGCCGAUGGCGACCGGCGCACGGGUGAGUAACACGUAUCCAACCUGCCGUCUACUCUUGGACAGCCUUCUGAAAGGAAGAUUAAUACAAGAUGGCAUCAUGAGUCCGCAUGUUCACAUGAUUAAAGGUAUUCCGGUAGACGAUGGGGAUGCGUUCCAUUAGAUAGUAGGCGGGGUAACGGCCCACCUAGUCUUCGAUGGAUAGGGGUUCUGAGAGGAAGGUCCCCCACAUUGGAACUGAGACACGGUCCAAACUCCUACGGGAGGCAGCAGUGAGGAAUAUUGGUCAAUGGGCGAGAGCCUGAACCAGCCAAGUAGCGUGAAGGAUGACUGCCCUAUGGGUUGUAAACUUCUUUUAUAAAGGAAUAAAGUCGGGUAUGCAUACCCGUUUGCAUGUACUUUAUGAAUAAGGAUCGGCUAACUCCGUGCCAGCAGCCGCGGUAGUACGGAGGAUUCGAGCGUUAUCCGGAUUUAUUGGGUUUAAAGGGAGCGUAGAUGGAUGUUUAAGUCAGUUGUGAAAGUUUGCGGCUCAACCGUAAAAUUGCAGUUGAUACUGGAUAUCUUGAGUGCAGUUGAGGCAGGCGGAAUUCGUGGUGUAGCGGUGAAAUGCUUAGAUAUCACGAAGAACUCCGAUUGCGAAGGCAGCCUGCUAAGCUGCAACUGACAUUGAGGCUCGAAAGUGUGGGUAUCAAACAGGAUUAGAUACCCUGGUAGUCCACACGGUAAACGAUGAAUACUCGCUGUUUGCGAUAUACAGCAAGCGGCCAAGCGAAAGCGUUAAGUAUUCCACCUGGGGAGUACGCCGGCAACGGUGCAACUCAAAGGAAUUGACGGA
Molecule: ribosomal RNA, 924 nt
Filed under: uncultured Bacteroidota bacterium
Lineage: Bacteria; Pseudomonadati; Bacteroidota
Description: bacterial SSU rRNA
Rfam family: Bacterial small subunit ribosomal RNA
Source: RNAcentral